UACGUAGGGGGCUAGCGUUGUCCGGAAUCAUUGGGCGUAAAGCGCGUGUAGGCGGUCCGGUAAGUCCGCUGUGAAAGUCGAGGGCUCAACCCUCGAAUGCCGGUGGAUACUGUCGGGCUUGAGUACGGGAGAGGCGAGUGGAAUUCCUGGUGUAGCGGUGAAAUGCGUAGAUAUCGAGAGGAACACCUGCGGCGAAGGCGGGUUGCUGGGCUGACACUGACGCUGAUGCGCGAAAGCCAGGGGAGCGAACGGG
This 253-nucleotide ribosomal RNA is filed under the name uncultured bacterium. RNAcentral's name for it is "partial 16S ribosomal RNA". It matches the Rfam family "Bacterial small subunit ribosomal RNA", at positions 524 to 776 of the family's 1533-position model. The record is from RNAcentral.